Molecule: ribosomal RNA, 367 nt
Filed under: Erythrolamprus juliae (Julia's ground snake)
Lineage: Eukaryota; Metazoa; Chordata; Lepidosauria; Squamata; Dipsadidae
Description: partial 16S ribosomal RNA
Rfam family: Bacterial large subunit ribosomal RNA
Source: RNAcentral
UGUCCACUAAUUAUGGACUAGUAUGAAAGGCAAAAUGAGGGUUUAACUGUCUCUUAUAAUAAGUCAAUUAAACUGAUCUACCAGUAAAAAAGCUGGAAUAAACACACAAGACCAGAAGACCCUGUGAAGCUUAAACUAAACUAUUAAACCACAUAAUAACUACUUUCGGUUGGGGCGACCUUGGAAAAAAAAGAACUUCCAAACUAGUGACAUCAAUCACCCCCAGGCCAACAAGCCACAUACGACCCAGUACACCUGACAAUUGAACCAAGUUACUCCAGGGAUAACAGCGCCAUCUUCUUCAAGAGUCCAUAUCAAAAAGAAGGUUUACGACCUCGAUGUUGGAUCAGGACAUCCUAAUGGUGUA